AGCGAACGCUGGCGGCAGGCUUAACACAUGCAAGUCGAGCGGGCACUUUCGGGUGCCCGCGGCGGACGGGUGAGUAACGCGUGGGAACGUGCCCUCUGGUUCGGAAUAACUCAGGGAAACUUGAGCUAAUACCGGAUACGCCCUUUUGGGGAAAGGCUUGCUGCCGGAGGAUCGGCCCGCGUCUGAUUAGCUAGUUGGUGAGGUAACGGCUCACCAAGGCGACGAUCAGUAGCUGGUCUGAGAGGAUGAUCAGCCACACUGGGACUGAGACACGGCCCAGACUCCUACGGGAGGCAGCAGUGGGGAAUAUUGGACAAUGGGCGCAAGCCUGAUCCAGCCAUGCCGCGUGAGUGAUGAAGGCCUUAGGGUUGUAAAGCUCUUUUAUCCGGGACGAUGAGGACGGUACCGGAGGAAUAAGCCCCGGCUAACUUCGU
This 434-nucleotide ribosomal RNA is filed under the name uncultured bacterium. RNAcentral's name for it is "partial 16S ribosomal RNA". It matches the Rfam family "Bacterial small subunit ribosomal RNA", at positions 29 to 506 of the family's 1533-position model. The record is from RNAcentral.